AAACAAAAGGGUAUGAAAUUCAAAGUAAUGCAUUAUACUUUUCUUCCUGUCAGGUCAAGAUGCAUGCAGCCUGGAGACAACACUGCAUUACAGCUUUGCUUAUGCCCAUCAAGUUCAUUACCCUCAUUAUGCACAACAGGUGGGCCCACUGUUUUUUAAGACACAUCGGAAGUGCCAGUGUUUUGAUGUGUGUUCAGAAGCCUCUGGAUCACAAAUAUUUUACCUCCUUGAUGAGGAAGUGACAGUUGGGAGGGGAGCUAAUUCUGUUGUUGGUAUGCUCCACCAUCACUUUAAAUACCAUAGUAUAGUCAGAAGUUUUC
Molecule: long non-coding RNA, 320 nt
Organism: Mercenaria mercenaria
Lineage: Eukaryota; Metazoa; Mollusca; Bivalvia; Venerida; Veneridae
Exons: 3
Source: RefSeq, a predicted model, not a curated record